UCACAAGGAGACUCUGGUACCUGCAGUGGGAAACUGAAUUGGUUCCUCAAAGUGUGAUUUCACGUCAGUAACUGCCAACACUGGCUGCUGCUGCUGCUGUGCCGGUCAGUCAGCUCUUUUCAAAGCCAUUAGAUUGAGAGGUAAUGAGGUGAAUUUUCAGGAUUGCUCAUUUUGACUGAGUGCUUGUGAAAUUUUGAUAUAGAGGAAGAAACAAAGAGAAUAAAGUGAUGGUGGUGACAUAUGAUCAGCAGCUAGAGACUGGAGAAACAUACUAGAAGAAGCACAACAAAUUUUAUUAAGGUGUUUAUCUAGGUAGUUGCCAAUCUGAGAAAAGGGAGAUGAUUUCUGUCCCUGGAUUACUUGGCAGGACUUCUGACAGUAGGGGACAGGAAGGAAAGGCAUGGAGAAGAUCCCCGGCCCAGGGAAGGAGUGCAUCGCCCAGGGAGAUUUGUUGUCCUAUCCCUGCUCUGGAGAAGUAGCAUCAACAUUUCCUGUUCAGAUGCCCAGCAAAUGGAGAGUGGCUCGAGAAUACUUCAGGGUGUGAAGAGAGCCAUCAGUCUUUUCCGCAAAGAGUUUAGUGCCUUCAAAGGGAAGAUUUUUGAUCGUCAACUGUACCUCCUUCUGGAAGCUCGAGAGAUGGAGCCAUGAUGCAUGUCGCAUCACCACUGCCAUGGAGAUGGAACUAGCUGAUGUACUGGCUGCAUCGAGAGCAGAUUGUAGCGUUGUUUUUGCUACUGACAGUCCCUCCUAAAUAAUGCCCUUGAAUUGGUUGCAAUGUGACUCAGGC
Trachemys scripta elegans is the source of this 787-nucleotide long non-coding RNA. RefSeq lists it as uncharacterized. Lineage: Eukaryota; Metazoa; Chordata; Testudines; Emydidae. The record is from RefSeq and is a predicted model, not a curated record. The transcript has 3 exons.